RNAcentral lists this ribosomal RNA (347 nucleotides) under Salmonella enterica. RNAcentral's name for it is "partial 23S ribosomal RNA". It matches the Rfam family "Bacterial large subunit ribosomal RNA", at positions 1084 to 1348 of the family's 2925-position model. Lineage: Bacteria; Pseudomonadati; Pseudomonadota; Gammaproteobacteria; Enterobacterales; Enterobacteriaceae. The record is from RNAcentral. RNAcentral also lists the same sequence under 1 other name.
CCCAGACAGCCAGGAUGUUGGCUUAGAAGCAGCCAUCAUUUAAAGAAAGCGUAAUAGCUCACUGGUCGAGUCGGCCUGCGCGGAAGAUGUAACGGGGCUAAACCAUGCACCGAAGCUGCGGCAGCGAACGUAUCACUUAAAGCGAUUCAGCGGGUUACGAUUGACGGAGCGAAGCGACGUCAAAGCGUAUACAAAGUCGAGUCGGUUUAAGGAUACGUUCGUUGGGUAGGGGAGCGUUCUGUAAGCCUGUGAAGGUGUGCUGUGAGGCAUGCUGGAGGUAUCAGAAGUGCGAAUGCUGACAUAAGUAACGAUAAAGCGGGUGAAAAGCCCGCUCGCCGGAAGACCAA